CUAUGGAUCACUCGUUUCGUAUUUUUCGUUUCGUGCGUGUGCGUUUUGAGUGCUUUUCCUCCUAUCUUUUUGUUUUUUCGCCGACCACUGCUUUGUUUUACGGAUUUUGACCCUACCUGCAUUGCCUGAACGACCCCUGCUUUCAACCUGGACUCUGGAUCUUGCUUACACGUCUGACUUGGAAUGUUUUCUUUGGACUUUACUACCGGCUUAAGAACUGGAUAUUGACGCUAUGGAUCGCUGUGUAAAUUGUGGAAUAGACACUAGUCGCUGCAAUGCACUAGGCAGACGAUCCAUAAACGAUGAGUCUACUCUGCAUGUGAUUCAACAAUGGCUUGCACCUCAGACUGUUAAUAACAGUGACUAUGUUUGCCAAGCAUGCUGGGACUUGGCUUAAAGCCGAUAUAAUGAUGAAGAAAGACAACUUGGCCACCAUAAUGUUUGUCUUCGCUGUGGACGUCCUCUUGCUUCAGCACGAGUUACUCAUUUACUCUACACUAACUCCCAUCGAGAACUGAGAAUAUAUAAUGUUAUACGAGAGUGGAUUACCUAUACCUCGAGCUGUACCCGAAGAUGGUUGCAUAUGUCAUACAUGCUGAGUGGCUGCAGACAGAGCUGCUGUCCAUAUGAACUCAGGACCAUCAACUUCAUCCCGAGGAAUACCCCCUGAAGAAAUACAGCCAGAGACACAACAUCCAAUUACCGACUCUCGAAGUGGAAUGGAAGCAAUACUAAAACAUUAUUGUAACUGCAUUGUAGGUAGACGAACUGUAGGCUGCUGCGCCCAUAUCAUGUCGAUAAUAUGGUACCAAGACCAUUUAGUACCACCUGCACAGUUCUUAGAUGAUAUUUUAAUUAUUAUAGAAGACGAAUAAAAUCAUUAAGUAAAGAAAAAUGUUUUAA
Molecule: long non-coding RNA, 903 nt
Organism: Ostrinia nubilalis (European corn borer)
Lineage: Eukaryota; Metazoa; Arthropoda; Insecta; Lepidoptera; Crambidae
Exons: 3
Source: RefSeq, a predicted model, not a curated record